This 431-nucleotide ribosomal RNA is filed under the name uncultured bacterium. RNAcentral's name for it is "bacterial SSU rRNA". It matches the Rfam family "Bacterial small subunit ribosomal RNA", at positions 29 to 446 of the family's 1533-position model. The record is from RNAcentral.
GCGAACGUUAGCGGCAGGCUUAACACAUGCAAGUCGAGCGAGAAAGGGGCUUCGGCUCCGAGUAAAAGCGGCGGACGGGUGCGUAACACGUGGAUAAUCUGCCUCGUGGCGGGGGACAACAGUCCGAAAGGACUGUUAAUACCGCAUGUCAGGUCGGAAACUCCGGUUUCUGACGAAAAAGAGGGCGUCCGCAAGGAGCUCUCACCACGAGAUGAGUCCGCGUCCCAUCAGCUAGUUGGCGGUGUAAUGGACCACCAAGGCUUAGACGGGUAGCUGGUCUGAGAGGAUGACCAGCCACACUGGGACUGAGACACGGCCCAGACUCCUACGGGAGGCAGCAGUGGGGAAUAUUGGACAAUGGGCGAAAGCCUGAUCCAGCCAUGCCGCGUGAGUGAUGAAGGCCUCGGUCGUAAAGCUCUGUGGGGAGGGAC